RNAcentral lists this ribosomal RNA (180 nucleotides) under uncultured bacterium. Its description in RNAcentral is "partial 16S ribosomal RNA". It matches the Rfam family "Bacterial small subunit ribosomal RNA", at positions 1 to 177 of the family's 1533-position model. The record is from RNAcentral.
UUAGAGUUUGAUCCUGGCUCAGAUUGAACGCUGGCGGCAGGCCUAACACAUGCAAGUCGAGCGGCAGCGGGAAAGUAGCUUGCUACUUUUGCCGGCGAGCGGCGGACGGGUGAGUAAUGCCUGGGGAUCUGCCCAGUCGAGGGGGAUAACUACUGGAAACGGUAGCUAAUACCGCAUACG